Molecule: unclassified non-coding RNA, 131 nt
Filed under: Oryza sativa (Asian cultivated rice)
Lineage: Eukaryota; Viridiplantae; Streptophyta; Magnoliopsida; Poales; Poaceae
Description: partial microRNA MIR472a-52 precursor
Source: RNAcentral
UUCACAAUGUAAGUCAUUCUAGCAUUUCCCACAUUCAUGCUAAUGUUAAUAAAUUUAGACAUAUAUAUCUAUCUAGAUUCAUUAACAUCAAUACGAAUGUAGGAAAUGCUAAAAUAACUUACAUUGUGAAA